ACCUACGGGGCGCAGCAGUGGGGAAUAUUGCACAAUGGGGGAAACCCUGAUGCAGCAACGCCGCGUGAGUGAGGAAGUAUCUCGGUAUGUAAAGCUCUAUCAGCAGGGAAUAGAAAAGAAGGUACCUGAAAAAGAAGCCCCGGCUAACUACGUGCCAGCAGCCGCGGUAAUACGUAGGGGGCAAGCGUUAUCCGGAUUUACUGGGUGUAAAGGGAGCGUAGACGGGCUUUUAAGUCAGCGGUAAAAAUUCGGGGCUCAACCCCGUCCGGCCGUUGAAACUGGGGGCCUUGAGUGGGCGAGAAGAA
RNAcentral lists this ribosomal RNA (305 nucleotides) under uncultured bacterium. RNAcentral's name for it is "bacterial SSU rRNA". It matches the Rfam family "Bacterial small subunit ribosomal RNA", at positions 337 to 659 of the family's 1533-position model. The record is from RNAcentral.